UACGAAGGGUGCAAACGUUGCUCGGAAUCAUUGGGCGUAAAGCGCACGUAGGCGGCCUUGCAAGUCGGAUGUGAAAUCCCUCGGCUCAACCGAGGACGUGCAUUCGAAACUGCUUGGCUCGAGUAUGGAAGAGGGUCGCGGAAUUCCCGGUGUAGAGGUGAAAUUCGUAGAUAUCGGGAGGAACACCAGUGGCGAAGGCGGCGACCUGGGCCAAUACUGACGCUGAGGUGCGAAAGCGUGGGGAGCAAACAGG
This 253-nucleotide ribosomal RNA is filed under the name uncultured bacterium. RNAcentral describes it as "partial 16S ribosomal RNA". It matches the Rfam family "Bacterial small subunit ribosomal RNA", at positions 524 to 776 of the family's 1533-position model. The record is from RNAcentral.